RNAcentral lists this long non-coding RNA (769 nucleotides) under Bos indicus x Bos taurus (hybrid cattle). RNAcentral's name for it is "lncRNA (ENSBIXG00000003003.1)". The record is from RNAcentral. Lineage: Eukaryota; Metazoa; Chordata; Mammalia; Artiodactyla; Bovidae.
ACCUUGGGAGAGUUAAAUUCUCUGAACUGACAAAACUUUAAAGGAAUGAAAGAAGUCCUUUCGGAAGCUGCCUGAGGAGAAGGGAAACACCGUCUUGAUCAAUCCUUGGGGACCUGCACUCUCAGAGAUGGAUGUAGAACGAUUCUUUCUCUGGCCUUGGCUGAAUGAGUCUGUUUACAUAGCUUUUCUGACUCUUGCUUUUCCCUGUGGAUGUGGAGAGGUUUCUAAGGGCCUCAGAUUUAAAAUGCCAAAUACAGUGUGGAUUGAAUUUCAGUUCUCUUGGGUGGUCUAACAUCUCAUCUGAUGAAGGAAGGAAAGAAGAAGGAUUAUAAUAAUAACUACUUUCAUCAUCGUCAUCAGUAUUCCACCUAUACCUGAUCUCUCUGCCAGCCUGACAACAAUUACUAGCUUAAGUGAUUUAUUCAAGGAAUAAGGAACGAGGUGAAAUUCAAACUCACAUCUCUCUGAUUGUAAAACUGGUGCGUUUUCUACUACACCAAGCCUCCUCUUCAUCUUGAGGUAAGAAUGUUUUCCAUCUGAAUGCAUCUUUUAUAUUAUGAUGAAAGUCAGUGGAAAGAUAAAUUUAGCAAAAUUCACUUUAAACAUCUUCUGUGAGUCAAAUCCUUUUUGAAAAUUACAACCCCUAUGGUGCUUCAUAUUACAUCACUGAAGUUCAACCUGCUAAAUCCCUGCCCCUGCCAGUCACACCAGUGUCCUUGUUUCUGAGAAAAAGCCUUGGUUUUCUUUCCUGGGAGACAUGGAAUUAAUG